UGGGGAAUAUUGGACAAUGGGCGCAGGCCUGAUCCAGCCAUGCCGCGUGAGUGAUGAAGGCCCUAGGGUUGUAAAGCUCUUUCACCGGUGAAGAUAAUGACGGUAACCGGAGAAGAAGCCCCGGCUAACUUCGUGCCAGCAGCCGCGGUAAUACGAAGGGGGCUAGCGUUGUUCGGAUUUACUGGGCGUAAAGCGCACGUAGGCGGACUUUUAAGUCAGGGGUGAAAUCCCGGGGCUCAACCCCGGAACUGCCUUUGAUACUGGAAGUCUUGAGUAUGGUAGAGGUGAGUAGAAUUCCGAGUGUAGAGGUGAAAUUCGUAGAUAUUCGGAGGAAAACCAGUGGCGAAGGCGGCUAACUGGACCAUUACUGACGCUGAGGUGCGAAAGCGUGGGGAGCAAACAGG
Molecule: ribosomal RNA, 404 nt
Filed under: Actinomycetes bacterium
Lineage: Bacteria; Bacillati; Actinomycetota; Actinomycetes
Description: Actinobacteria bacterium partial 16S ribosomal RNA
Rfam family: Bacterial small subunit ribosomal RNA
Source: RNAcentral